AUAUCUCUCCGUACGGGAAGGAUGAGAAGCUUCGACUAAGGUUCGAUUCGAGCGAAAGCGAGAAAG
Molecule: small RNA, 66 nt
Filed under: Salmonella enterica
Lineage: Bacteria; Pseudomonadati; Pseudomonadota; Gammaproteobacteria; Enterobacterales; Enterobacteriaceae
Also listed under: 2 other names
Description: partial RtT sRNA
Rfam family: RtT RNA
About the family: This family represents a bacterial cis-regulatory element known as RtT RNA. The exact function of RtT is unknown although it is thought that it may be involved in changing the cellular response in relation to amino acid starvation.
Source: RNAcentral